AGUCACUGACAUUAGAUACCCCCUGUAGUCCAGGGUGUAAACGCUGCAGACUUGGUGUUGGAAGUCCUUUGGGGGCAUUCAGUGCCGGAGAGGAGUUGUUAAGUCUGCUACUUGGGGAGUACGUCCGCAAGGAUGAAACUUAAAGGAAUUGGCGGGGGAGCACCGCAACGGGAGGAGCGUGCGGUUUAAUUGGAUUCAACACCGUAAAACUCACCAGGGAAGACUGUUACAUGAAAGCCGAGAUGAAGACUCUGCUAGAUUUUCAG
Molecule: ribosomal RNA, 266 nt
Filed under: uncultured archaeon
Lineage: Archaea
Description: partial 16S ribosomal RNA
Rfam family: Archaeal small subunit ribosomal RNA
Source: RNAcentral